This 432-nucleotide long non-coding RNA is filed under the name Lynx pardinus (Iberian lynx). The record is from RNAcentral. Lineage: Eukaryota; Metazoa; Chordata; Mammalia; Carnivora; Felidae.
AGGUCCCUGCCUGUCAAGAUGCCCAUCCUGAAGAGUCUAGGGGUGGCCGACCCUAAGGUGCCCCGGGCGGGGACACUGCCUCUGAGGUCCUCUCGGAACCCCUUUGAGGAAGUUCCGGGACCGGAAGAAGACGAGGUUGGGGAGCUGGGGAGCCUGCCCAACGGAACAUCGUGUCGCCGCCGUGCCACCCUGGAGAAGCUGGCCGGCCUGGCCCCCUUCCGGCUGGGCUGGACCCCCGGCCGGCGGGCAGGCAGCCCCGGAGAUCGGCAGUCCCGCUCUUUCCUGGGCCGAGUGCUGACCCCAGGGAUACGCAGGAGCUCAGCAGAUUUUGGCCUCCUGGCCAGGCUUCAGGGGACCCGAGCCCAGGGCGACGAGGAGGUGGCUGGGGAGGCCGCCCGGAGACUGGCCUUCCUGAGACUGGGACGCGGGCCC